UACCAGCCCAAUGCUCUUCCAACUGAGCUACGUCAGGACGGCUCGACCCGUCCUGACCGCGUAGCUCAGUUGGAAGAGCAUUGGGCUGGUA
Molecule: non-coding RNA, 91 nt
Organism: Paramuricea clavata
Lineage: Eukaryota; Metazoa; Cnidaria; Anthozoa; Malacalcyonacea; Plexauridae
Source: the annotation of a GenBank genome assembly